Cottoperca gobio is the source of this 645-nucleotide long non-coding RNA. RefSeq lists it as uncharacterized. The transcript has 3 exons. The record is from RefSeq and is a predicted model, not a curated record. NCBI's taxonomy places the organism in Eukaryota, Metazoa, Chordata, Actinopteri, Perciformes, Bovichtidae.
GGCCGCUCGAAAACCGCUCGAAUGGGUUGGCGGAGAGGAUUAAACCGAAACAAAAUAUGAUCUUUUGAUGGUUUACGUUCACCCAAGCAAGCCUACCGUUGCACAAAUGGAGUGUUAAAGGUUCGUAGUAUGCGGUGACGAUGAAAUAGCUACGCUGUAAACGAGUUUUCGUGGAUAUUUUAGUGUUUUUUUUCUUUGGACGUCUGUUUGUUGGUCUACAUGGUUUUAACAAGCUAGCACUAGCUUCGAUUCUAGUGAGCUGCUUCGAGCUGAGAUGGUCGUCGCGAGUUUAUGCGGAUGUCUCCGGACCAGUCUAUACUAAACCGACGGCAACAAAUGGGACCAUCCAGCAUCGGCCGUAAACAUCGCGGCGUAGACCAAACUUUAAAGAUUCAAAAAUCUAUUUGAAUUUGUGGAAAUUCAGACAGAGGACUCAGACGGCAGGUGUUUUUCUAGUGUGGGAUUUUAGCCCACUGACAUUCUCCCACAGCCAUGGAAUCGACGGUUGAUGACGAUGCAAUGGCAGCGUGAAUGAAGCUUGGCGUGGGGAGAGCUGAACGAUGCCCAAAGGUGGGGGUUCUAAAACCCCCCAGCUGGACCACUUCCCACUCAACACCGACAUGGUGGAAAAGCAGGGUGGGAAGA